GAUGAACGCUGGCUACAGGCUUAACACAUGCAAGUCGAGGGGAAACGACGGGGAAGCUUGCUUCCCCGGGCGUCGACCGGCGCACGGGUGAGUAACGCGUAUCCAACCUGCCUCUGACUGAGGGAUAACCCGUCGAAAGUCGGCCUAAUACCUCAUGGUAUCGUCUGCGGGCAUCCAACGACGAUUAAAGAUUUCAUCGGUCAGGGAUGGGGAUGCGUCUGAUUAGCUUGUUGGCGGGGUAACGGCCCACCAAGGCUACGAUCAGUAGGGGUUCUGAGAGGAAGGUCCCCCACAUUGGAACUGAGACACGGUCCAAACUCCUACGGGAGGCAGCAGUGAGGAAUAUUGGUCAAUGGGCGAGAGCCUGAACCAGCCAAGUAGCGUGCAGGAAGACGGCCCUAUGGGUUGUAAACUGCUUUUAUGCGGGGAUAAAGUGAGGGACGUGUCCCUCAUUGCAGGUACCGCAUGAAUAAGGACCGGCUAAUUCUGUG
This 491-nucleotide ribosomal RNA is filed under the name uncultured bacterium. RNAcentral's name for it is "partial 16S ribosomal RNA". It matches the Rfam family "Bacterial small subunit ribosomal RNA", at positions 28 to 507 of the family's 1533-position model. The record is from RNAcentral.